Molecule: long non-coding RNA, 16435 nt
Organism: Homo sapiens (human)
Lineage: Eukaryota; Metazoa; Chordata; Mammalia; Primates; Hominidae
Exons: 2
Source: RefSeq, a predicted model, not a curated record
CCUUGUGAUCCACCCACCUCGGCCUCCCAAAGUGCUGGGAUUACAGGCCUGAGCCACUGCGCCCGGCCUUCCCUCACCUAUUCUUAUAACCAACAAGAAAUAAGCCUUAAACAGUCUUCCUGAUAUGUAAUAUUAUUCUGGAGAGCGCUAUCCCUUAAGCCAGGAAUUACAGGACUGAUGUUUCAUGAUCAAGUAUCCCUUUUUACCAAGUCCCUUUCCAACUCCUAAUCUCCAAAACUUCCUGUAGCCUCAAGAGAAUGUGGAAUAAAUAGAUCUGAUUAUUAUAAAACUGCACAAUUGCAUGAUUUAAAGUAAUUUUAUUUUACUGAAUUUCAUGUUUAUAAAUUUUAAAGAAUUUCUUUAAAACAAAAUCAGAAAUGGUUCAUUUUACAGAUGCUGACUUCUCAAACUUAAGAGAGUCAUAGAUUUGAGUACAUACUGCACUAGUGAUGAUAAUGAUGAUACAGACAUAAAUUUAUGCAGAACUUUCAUAUUUCCAAAACAUAUCACACAUUUGCUUGCUUUAAAUUCACAACAGCCUGCAAAUAUUAUUCCCAUUUUACAUAUAUGGAGACUGGGGAUGAGAAAGUUAAAGGAACUCUUUACAAAUUAUGGAGGUGGUACUGUAUCUCCCAGCACCUUGUUCUUCUGCUGCUUUUCCUCCACCUGCUACAUCUGUCAUAGCAGGCACUUAUAGGAAAGGGGGGCACCUACCUCCAUGACAGAAGCUGGGGAGGGGUAGUCAGAGACAUCCCUGAGUUGAAUAAAUAAGUGAAUACAUGAAUAUAUGACUAACUGAAUGGAUGCAUGAAUGGAUGGGUGGACGAUAGAUAAAUUGAUGAGUGGAUUGAUGGGCAGAUUAAUGGAUCUAUGGGUGGGUGGAUGAUGAAUGGGUGAAUCUCUUUUGUUUGGAUGAAUGGGUAGAUGGAUGGAUGGGAUUCCUGUGGUCUCAGAGAAAAGGCAGUGGUGUUCUCUCAGUGUCUAGAAAGUGUGUACAGACACUUAUAAUACUCUACCAGCCAGAAUUCCUUAUGCUUAGCCAUAUCUUAACCCUGCCUGCCCAGGUAUUUCAAUCAUCCUUCAUCCUCAAGAAAAUAGAAUAUCUUUCAGCCAUAAGGUUGUCUAUUUCUACUCUCCAACUUACUAGCCAUGUUUACUGUACCUCUCCCUGCCUCAGUUUAUUCACCCGUAAAAUGGAGAUGAAAAUAACAUCUCAUUCAUAGAGUUGGAAUACAUAAUAUAUAGAUAGAUCAUUUAGUAAAGUACCUAACAUAUCAUAAAUUCUCGAUAAAUAAUAACUAUCACCCUUAAUAUUCCCUAAAGUUCAGAAUGGUUGCCUGUGAAAAUCAAAGUGAGUCCCCACUCACUAAGCAUGCCAUAUGGUCAUUAUGGUCUUUAGCCCUUUUUCAUUAGUGGUGGAAUCUGCAAUCAUACAAUAACCUUUAUUUUAUUACACAGCCCUUGGAAAUUGAGGGUUUCAUCUGUGUCAAUUAAUUCCUUCGCAGCCCACAUUGGCAGUGACAAUCAGAAUGUCAAAAUGUCUCAGAGGAUUUCUAGGAAAUCUGUGGCACUUCACGAAGAGGCUGCCCCGGGUGAGAGACCAGCCAGAGUGAAUCGUUAAUACACUUCCCAGGAAGGGGGAUUCUUCUGAAAUGCUAAUACAAUCAACUGCAAGGCAAACUUCAAGCUUCUUUUUCAGUGAUCAGAGAGGCCCUCCCAGAGCAAGGAUGCUCUCCACUGUGCAAGCUAAAGGCCCUACUUUCUCACCCAGCCUUUUCUGGGGAGGAGAAACACAUCCUCACCACAUUGCAGCUGCCCUGCGAGGGCUGCAGGUAUUGUGUGUCCCCACCAGCCAGGGCAGUUCCCAGACAGACUCUGGCUGCCUGGACCCAGGUCUGCUCCAAGGAAGCAGCACGUUUCUGGAGGAGGCUUAGCCAAGAAACCAUUACGGAGUGAGAGAGGAGUUAUCUGGAUAAAUGCGGAACUGCCCAACUCCUAGCAUUUGUUCCUGGGACCCAGGCUGUAACAUCCUCUGGAGCCAAACUGCCUCUGUUCAAACCCUUGUCCCCGCACUCCACCUCCUAGCUGUGUGGCACUGUGUGCAUUACUUAACUUUGCAUGCCUUACUUUUUCCAUUUGUAAAAUGCAUAUAAUAAUAAAUCCUACCUCCUAGGGUUGUGUGAGGAUUUAAUGAUUUAAUAAAUAAAAAACACUUAGAACAAUUCCUGGCACAUGGAAAGCAUGUAUAAAAUGUUAAGUAUUAUUAUUCAUUCUUUCAUACAUUCCCUCAUUCAUGCAUUUAUUAGUCUUUCCACUCAUCCACUGAUUCCUGCACUCAUGCAUGCAUACAUCCAACAUUCCUAUCUGAACCCUUAUUAACGAAUGAGGUCAUGUUAAAAGUGAAUAAUAAAUAUCAAGUUUAGGUUUGAGAGACAAAGAGCUACCAAGAGUAGCCUGGGAAAGGUGUCCUAAACCUCUGCUUUGUGCAGGCACCAUGCUUAAAACCUCCAACCGCAUGCAUUUGCUCAUGUGGUUUUGUCUCCUCAGAUGCUUCUCUCCCCCUUCUUCUGCCCCUCUAAACCCAGAAAACCCUUACUUAUCCUCCAAGGCCCAGUUCAAGGGUUAUCUCCUGGGUGAAACUUUUCCAGCUUCCGGGCAUAACUAUUCCCCAUCUCCUUAAUGAGUAAACGACUGAUAGAAUGAAUAAAGGCUCCCACAGCUCUGUGUUCAUGUUGAUGUUACAGCCUGUAUCACCUUGGAUUAUAAUUAAUUGCUCAUGCUUCUCCUGCCUGGAACACUCCCCCUUAAGCAGCCUGCUUCUAUUUAUCCUUCAAGCCUUAGUUUAGACGUCACUUCUUCCAGGAAGCCUUCUUUGACUUGCCAAAUAUAGUCUUGGGGCCUCUCCUGCAAGUCCCAACAGCCCCUGUUCCUCCCCCAUCACCACCCUGGCCAUACUGUAAGGUCAUUCCUGCCUUGCCUGACUGAGGCCUCUGUGGGACUCCAUCCUCUGUGAGACCAGGGGUCAGGUUGGUCUUGCUUACCACGACAUUCCCAGCACCCAGUCAUGUCAUGUACAGUGUCUACAAUAUGAUUGGCACCUCCAGAAGGUUGUGCAGCAUGCAACUCUGUAUGGCAGCCCUGCCCUGGAAAGGUGCCUGACACCGAAUAACCAGACAAUAAGUAUCUGGUGAAUUUAUAGAUGGUGGCUAAGCUUGGAAACCCCCAGGUUCCUGUGUCAGGUGUCACUCUCAUUGCCCCUCCAGGACCCUCUGGGAGGAGCAAAAGUGUUGCAGGUUCUCCCCCUCCUCCUCCUUCAGGAGCUAUUCUGUGUUUGGAAAGCUCUCAGCACCUUAAGGUAAGUGGGGUGUCAAUAACAGAUGGCAUGGAAUAGGGUGGUGUAAAGGGAGGCCAGUGUCCUGAGCCUGAAAAUAAGGAAGCCACUACUCUCACCCAAAUAACAGAAAACUGAGUGCUUCCAGCAGAUCACAUAGGCUCCGCCCCUGGCCCCCCUCCAGCUCUGACAGAAGACACCUGAAGCUCCUCCUUCUCAAAACAUUUAGGUGUUCCAGCACUGAACCCUCAGAAGGCAGAAAAGAGAAGUGGUUAAGACAGAGCAAGCCACAUUUCUAAUUCCAGCCUCACCUCGUUGUUAGCUGUGUGGCUUUAGGCAGAUUGCCCAGCCUUUCUGAGCUUCAUUCCCUCAUCUGUUUACGGAUAAUACUUCACAGGGGAGGUAUGAAGAUUAAAUAAAACAACACAUAUAAUAUACCUGGCCCAGAGUAAAUAUUCCAGGAAUAUUUGCUAUUAUUAUUAUUAUUUAACAUUUUUUCAGAUUCAGAUGGAAGCUCAGAACAGAUGUAUAAUAUGGCUUUGAUCCAUCCACGCCUCAAUCUAUCUCCUUAUUGAGGCCCAGAGGAAAAGUGGGAUUUGUCAGAACCACAUCUGGCAUAGACACAGAACCUUCCAAAAUGAUGUUCUUCCUGCUGCAUUAUCAGUAAAAUGUCACUGUUGAGUGAGAACUUACUUCAUUUCUUCCCUUGGCAUCUGAAGGCUACAUACAUGGUGUAGGACGAGCCUGGACUCUGGAUUGAAAUUCUGCAUAUGUUUGGCACUUUCCAGCUGUGUGACUUUGGGUGAGUUGCUUAGCCUCUCUGAGCGUCACAGUCCUCAUCUAUAAGAUGAGAAGAAGAAUAAAAUAGUUCCUCCCUUAAAGUGAAGAAUCGGUAAGAUGAUCAGGAAAUAUAAGGACCUCACUUAGUACACUAAGUAACUGGCUUAGAGUAACAGACUAAUAAUUGUUCACUACUAUUAUUUUAUUAGCAAGUCUUAGGGUAUAAGGCUGUUGGGGAAUAGAGAAAUUUAAAUUAUGUCCUUGACUGAGGCUUUUAUUCUUCCUGGAAGUCCAGGCUUUGGUGCUCCCAAUAUGGGAACAGCCCCAUUCCCAUCUCAGGACUGAGGACUUCCCCUCUCCCCAUGUUGGGAUUCCUCCCCAUCCCCCUCCAUGUUGCACCUCCUACCUCUCCCAGGCAAGCUGUGGCCUGCCUCAUCCUUCCUGGUGUCUCUCACCAGGAAACACAUUCUUUCUCCCACAUUCUGGGGCCUGUGAGCUACAGUUCUUAUCAAUGCCAAAGGAACCCAGGCUCUUGCAAGCUGGGCUGGCUGCACGAGCUUGCUCUGUCUCCUGCAGGCAGAAGAAACCUGCUUUCACAGUAUUGGAUGUCAGCACGCUGCUGGGUGGCUUCUGUGCGUUUUGCUCUACCUGUCUGCAGCCAGAGAUGGUGGCUGAUCCUUGGGGAUGUCCAAGUGGCCUGGGUUUUGUUCUCAAGUUGGCAUCACCUGCUCUCAGUCCAGUGUCAUCGAGAGAGCUGUUUAUCCUCCUACGUCCCAGAAUAGCCAGGAAAUUGUGGGGGUCCCUGUGCUCUGUCAUACCUGGGAGGCGGUAUCCCACAAGAAGGGACUGGGGGAUUGCAGGAGAGAGGACACCUGGUCCCACCCCUGGCCCUCACACCUCCCACCAGCUUCUCUUCCAGGAGCAGAUCUGGGGGCCCCCACCUCCAGGUGCCCAGAGGCCUGAGAAGUUGUCGAAACCGCAGAACCUGACGUGUAUAACUGCAGGAGACGCCAGCCGUCUCCUCCUGGUGCGGGCUAAAAAUACAGAGGAGCAAGGGGCCUUGGUAAUGGAGACUUUAAGAGCCUGUGACAUGCAGCAACGGCUGCGCGGCCGCUAAUGAGCUCCAAGCCGAUCGAUGCUGGCGCUUCAAGUGAGUGUGUGGGCUGGGAGCAGGGAUGGGGGUGUCACUCAGCAUUUGUCCAUCCUAGCUGAGAAAUCUGGAAUGUUGGUGUGGGCCAGGAGCUUGGAGACCAGCUCAAGUGACCCCUUGACAUUCAGAUGGAGAGACUGAGGCCAAGUGACAGGAAGUGGGAAGACACAUCAGAAAGAGGUUGAGGCCUCAAGGGACUCCAGCCUGACCUCUGCAGUAGGCUCCCUGCCCUGUUCCCAGCUCUGUGCUUCAGAGCCCAGCACAGAACCUGCAUGUGGAGACCCUGGCAAAUGGGUGAUAAUUGACCAAAUGAAUGAGAGUGAGUGAGUGAGUGAAUCAAUAAACAUCUUCUUCACUGCAGCAUGGCUCCCCAGUGAUGGGGACUGUAAUUUCAUCAUCCUAUUGCUCUAGGAGUACCUGGCACAGAGUAGGCACUCAAAAACUGCUUGCUGCAUGAAUGAGCACCUAAUCUGCUUCUUGAUCUACCCGUUUCCUGAGUGUGGAGACAAGGAAGCCUGUAAAAAUUGUGCCUGAGGUCUCUUUUCAGUGGUCCUACUACUCAAAAAUGGUAGAUUUCUACCUACCAGAGAGAAUAAAAAACAACACAGCAGACAUUUAUUAAGUACUCAGCAGGCACAGUAUUAAGAACUGUUCACAAAAUAUCUCAUUUAGUCCUCACAUCAAUCUAUGAGUUAAGUUCAAUUUUUAUACCCAUUUUAAACAGGAUAAACAGGAGAGAGCCAAGGGAGCUCUGAAAGGUGGUGUGGCUUGCCCUGAGUCAUGCAUUCCUCUAGGCAAAGGAGGAGCCAGGAUUCAAACCCAGGCCAGCCUGCUCUUCCCUCCUUAACCACUGCACUAUCCUGCCUCCCUUAAAGUACAGCAGGAGAAGACAGGAGAAGCAUGGCCAGAGAAAGCCAUGCAGAAUGGAGUCAAAAAAAUACCUCCAGGGCCUAUAAAGUGUUUGAUAAAUUCCAGGAGAAGAAUAGGAAGAAAUAAUGAGCAUUUGUCAGAGCCUUUUAUAGCAUAUAAGAUGAUUUUCCCUGCAUUCUCUCAUUUGAUCUUCACCACAGGCCUGGGAGGAAGGUAUUAUCAUUAUCUACAUUUUAUUGGUGAGGAAAGUAAGGCUCCCACACCUCUCAGCUAGGGUUGGGCAGGCUGCACACCUGAGGGGGUAGUGGUUCAGUGAUAAGGACUCACUUCUCAUCUCCUGGAGGCUGCCAUAACCUCUCCCCAAAUUGUCAUUGGCUCAAAGGGAAAUCUAGGCUGAGGCUCACAUGGCAUUUCUGUGUUCUCUAUAACCACAGGGGAAAGGCCAGCAGGGCGCAGAGGCCAGACCAAAUGCCACCUCCUCCAAGGAGCCUGCCUGGACCUGCCCGCCCUCGGGACUCUUACUCUCCUCUGAGCUGUCCAUCUCUUUCAUUUCUUUGACAGCCCCUCCCAAGGCAGAGCUUGUUAUCUCUGCAUCAUCUCAAAAAGAAUUAGUCAACAAGAGUGACCCUUGGCAGUGGGAAGGUGAACACGUGGUGCAAGAGUUUGCUCAGGCAACAGUGUUAUGAUGGCUUAAGAACAGAAACUAUGUGUGGAGUGAGACCAGAGCCCCUCACGCUCUCCAGGCCCCUCUGACUCUCAGCUACUCUGUUGGCUCCUUGACCUUCGGAGCAUGUGGCCAAGAUUGGGCACAAAGCGGGUGUGGCAAUGCUCUUCCUAAUGCUCCCCACAGGAAACACAAAUUUAAUACAGCAUGAGCAAGGGCUGCAAAGAGCUCCUGUCCUACAGCCAGUUCCAUUUCUCAAAAGGGAAUGGGAGUGUCAGGAAGUGAAUGCCCUGUGAUUAUCUGGAAUUUCCUCAGUUCAGCAUAGGGUCAGUGGUGUACAGCAUGCCUUACUAUCUUGGCUUUAUGUGCCAAUUCAGAUGGAUGAAAAAGCAUUGCUUCGGGUGGGGGGAGGGGGGAGGGAUAGCAUUAGGAGAUAUACCUAAUGUUAAAUGACGAGUUAGUGGGUGCAGCACACCAACAUGGCACAGGUAUACAUAUGUAACAAACCUGCACGUUGUACACGUGUAUCCUAAAACUUAAAGUAUAAUAGAAAAAAAGCAUCGCUUCUCACUAACUAUAUAAAAAUCAAAACCCAGAUUUUAUGUGAUUGAAUUUUUUCAACCCCAGUUACCAUAUAUGAUGGGGUAUUACAGUCUUUGUGAUUGAAAAGGUGAAGCUAGGGCGGGAAUGUGCUCCAGCAGGAUUCUUGCAGGCUUUCAGCCUAUGUGGAGCCCCUGCUAGCUGCCAGGCACUGUAUUAGACUUUGAGGAUAUAGUGCUGAACCAGGCAGACAGUCCCUGCUGUUGGGAAUUUCCAGCCUAGGGGACAGACAAGCAGACUUCACAAGAUGAAGGCUGGAAGCUCCUGACCCAAUCAGGGAAAAGAGAAGGCCUCUGGGGGAGAGGUGGCCCUUGGGCUGAAUUCUAAAGGAUAUACAGGGGCAGAUGGUGCAGCAGUUAUGAAUUCCAGGUCUGGAGUCAGGUAACCUGAGCUGGAACCUGGGCUCUGCCACUUCAAGCUCGUGAUCUUGGACAAGUUCCUUGACCUCUUUGUGCCUCAGUUUCCUCAUGUGUAAAAUAAGCAUAGUAAUAGCAACUUAGGCUGGGCGCCAUGGCUCAUGCCUAUAAUCCCAGCACUUUGGGAGGCCAAGGCAGGUGGAUCACCUGAGGUCAGGAGUUUGAGACCAGCUUGGCCAACAUGGUGAAAACUUGUCCUACUAAGAAUACAAAAAUUAGCCGGGCGUGGUGGCACAUGUCUGUAAUCCCAGCUACUUGGGAGGCUGAGGCAGGAGAAUCGCUUGAACCCGGGAGGCAGAGGUUGCGGUGAGCUGAGAUCGCACCAUUGCACUCCAGCCUGGGCAACAAGAGCAAAACUCCCUCUCAAAUAAUAAUAAUAAUAAUAAUAAUAACCCCGUAAGGUUGGGAGAUAAAUGAGUUAAUACAUAGAAAGCACUUGGAGGCCAGGUGCGGUGGCUCACACCUGUAAUCCCAGCACUUUGGGAGGCCAAGGCAGGCAGACCAUGAGGUCAGGAGGUUGAGACCAUCCUGGCUAACACGGUGAAACCCCAUCUCUACUAAAAAUACAAAAAAUUAGCCGGGUGUGGUGGCGGGCACCUGUAGUCCCAGCUACUCGGGAGGCUGAGGCAGGAGAGUGGCGUGCACCCGGGAGGCGGAGCUUGCAGUGAGCCGAGAUCGCGCCACUGCACUCCAGCCUGGGCGACAGAGCAAGACUCCGUCUCAAAAAAAAAAAAAAAAAAACAGUGGCUGGCCAAUACUAGGGAUCUACUGCAUGUCAACUAUCAGUAUUUUUACCUUGUAGGUUGUUGUGAGGACUAAAUAAGAUAAAAUUGGGUAAGUACUUAACCCAGAGUAAGUGCUCAAUAAAUGUAAGCUGCUUUUAUUUUUGUUAUUAAGUAGGCAUUUGCCAUUACUAGCCAGGUGGGUGGGAGGCGAAUCCAAGGCAGAGAGAAUAGCAUAUGCAAAGGCCUGGAGGCCAGACAGAGCCUGGCGCAUUUGGCAAAGUUUUGAAGUUCAAUUAGACUGGCACAGAGCCUGGGUUCCAGGAGUGAUGCAGGCUGGGGCUGCAGAGGUGGAGGCCAGGGCUGGAUCUGGAGGUAUUGGGAAUAGUGAGCCUCCCUCACUCCACAGGCAAGAGUGCUUCUGCUAUGAAGCCUUGCCUGCGGUGAUGGAGAGGCCAGCAGUAUGAGGAGGGUGCUCCACCCUCAUCCUCACCUUGCCCAGUGCCACUCUGCUUGGAGCUGCCGGCUGUCCAUUAGGCAGCCUCAGUGCAAGAGGCUCUCUUUCCUCAUGCGAUACAUGUCACAUCCGGGAACGAUCAAAACAGCUUUGCUUUGGCAAAACGUCUUGUGCUGCGUGUUUGUUCUUUGGAGUCUGAGCGUAACUCCUGUUGUUCCCGACACCUGUGAUUUGCUGGUCUGUGACAGCCAUUACCUGCUCAAAGUCUCUGCCUGCCACACAACCCACCUGGUGCCACCCCCAUUCCUUCCUCUGCCAUCCCCAGAGCAGUAAAUGCCUCUCCAGGCCACAGGGGUUGGGGCCAGCAGUGAAUCAGACAUAGUUGGCAAGGAUGGCCAAUUUUAGUAAUCACCUCUACCAUUUGGGAACGUCUACUGUGCACCAGGUGCUUCGAAUGCCUUGUUUUUAGUCCGCCCAACAACCCCACAGUUAGAGUUCAUUUUCUGUAUUUAACAGAGGCACAGAGAGGUUAGGAAGUGACCCAAGUCCACCAUUUGAUAAGUAUGAGGAAUAGGAUUUGAACUCAGAUCUCUGCACCAUUGGCUGCACACUUGCCACCAUGUCAGGCUGCCUCUCCAGCUCACUUGCUCACAGCUGCUGAUCCUGAAUGGAGGGGCCUGGGACAGCUGAAAUUUGACAUUGGCAUUGGGGUCAACUCAUGGGAGUCAGUCCAUCUGGCCCCAGGACCUUCCAUUCCUGAGGACAGACCCCCUUGGAGGUACUAGACCCCCAGUGUUGGUCUCCACAGCUUGGAUCCUGACCAGCCCCUCGCCUGUCUCUUGCAAACUCAAUCCUGUUAAGCUCUGACACCUCCAAGCUCCUUCCUGGGGUGAUCCUUUAGCCUUCAACACUUACCCACCAAAUCUCCACUUCGAGUUCAUGUGUAUCAAGCAUCCAGUUCACUGUUAUUAUCAUUAUAAUGGGGGAAGCACAGCCUCAUGUAAAGCUUGAGGGCCCUUCCCUGUUCCCUGUACCCCUUUUCUUCACUUUCUGGGAUCUCUGAGGGAACCAAAGGAGAUUCAGGCCCUCCAUUUUGUGAUAAGUUCCUGGAGGGCAGAGCCCUAUCUGACUUAUUAACCUGUUUCCCUAGUGCUUGAACUGCAGUAGGUGCUCAGAAAACAUAUGCUGAGUAAUAAUAUCCACCGGUGCUCUUGCUUAUGGAGCUACACUGAAAAUCUCUUUCACAUGAUACCAUUUAGCUAAGACAGUAACCAAUAUAAAGUAGGUAUUAUUUUCCCCACAGAUGAGGAAACUGAGGCUCUGAAACAUAGAGCAAUGUGCCAUAGACCACAGCUAGGAGGUAGUGGGGCCAGGAUUCAAAACCCAGGGUUGCCUGACUCUAAGCCUGUGCUUCUGAACACGCAUCCUAUACAGCCUCCUUAAUACAAUCCAUGGAUGAAUGGAGGAGUUCUACGUGCCCUGCCCAGUCGACUGCCCAGCCUGACCCCUUCCCACAACCUCCUAGGAUGCUAGAGUCCUCCACCCAUGCUGCCCCCUCUUCUGCCCACAGGCUCAGAGCAAAGCCUCUCCCAACAAGGCUUAUUAUUUCUAAUCUUAGGAGAAAAACCUCAGUUCAAAGGCAUUUUCUAUUCCAUUCAAGUCAAAAAACAGUUCUCACUUUGCCUCUCUGACCCCCUACCACCCCCACCUCCUCCUCCAACUGGCGCCAAUAACGCAAGAUAAAUCUUUCCUCAGAAAUAUAAUAGUUGUUCUUCCUCUUCUCGUUGAAGCCUUUGCCAGGUAAUUAGCAUAUGCUGACACCUUGAUAGACGAAAAGAAAGGCAUGAGAUAAUUCCCUUUUUCUUUAACCAUUAUAGUAUGAAGCAGCCUUUCAAUUUGCCAGUUACCCAAUCCAGCAUUCCUGGACGCAGCCCACCGUGUGACAUGUUAUUCUAGCUGAUCCUACCAUCUCUGGUAUUCAUCACCAACCCUGGGUCACACUUGAUAGAGCAAAUUCCCCUUCUUCACAUUGACACUUUUCUGGGAGGAGGGGCAGCCAGGGUUCAGAGGGUCUGGAAAUUGUGGGGAUGAUGUGGUCAUACUUGGGUGGGCACCCCCAGCUGACAGCCUAAGGCCUUGCAAAGGCCUGCAGAGCCCUAGGGGUCACUUUCAGAAGCCCUCUCUCCUUCCCCUGUUCCUUUCCCGCUCCCUAAAAGAAGCUGGCCUUUGAUCAGACUUUGGGAGUCCCUGUAUUUAGUGCAGCAGGAACCUCAGCUUGGAGUGAAUGGUUUUCUCUCUUCUCAUCAAAAAACACACACACACAACAUGCACAAUGACACAUACACACAAAACAUGCACGCACACUACACGUGCACGUGUGCGCGCACACACACACUCCCACUCUGGGCUCAUGGCCUGGGAUCUUAGGGUUGCGCCCAACCUCUUUGGAGGGACUGUCCCUCUAUGGCCAUUUAUAUGCUCACAGGGUUGAUUUUAUCCUUGACGUUUUGAGGGAUGAGGGAGAAGACGACACUUAAUUCCUUCAUUUCACAAUGUAGUAAGUGCCUACCAGGCACUAUUUUAGACAUUGAAGAUACAGAGAUGAACAAGACAGGCAAGGGGCCCGGCCUCAUGGAGCUUCCAAUCCAGCCCGAGGAAGCAUACAAGAAAUAAGCCAGUAAAAGAUAUCAUUUCAGAUGGUGAUAUGUGCUUAUUAGGGAGACAAAACCAAACAGGUGAGGUGAUGGGGAGGGAGUGGGAGGACUAUUUUAGACAGAGUGGCCAGAGGGCCUGAGAUUUGAACUGAUACGUGAACGAAGAUGAGCAAGCCAGCCAUGCAGGAGCUGGGGAAAACAUUCCCAGAAUGAACAGCAAGUGCAAGAGUUCACAAAUGCACCAGGUCCUGCACUGGGUCCAGUUUCUUUGGAGGGAUCUGUUCCACCCUACAUAGCUUUGACUUUCGCUGGUACUACUGAGGGUGAGACAAGCAGCUUGCUUGUCCAUUUGGUGAGGGUAGAAAAGUUGCUGCCUGGGUCUAUCUGUUAGCUAGGACUUUCCCAGGCUAGGGACUACGCAUCACGCAUCUGAGCAGAAACCAGAAACCAGAUCAACCCUGUUAUCUUGCCAAUGGCUGCCCAAGGAAACUUCCAGCCCUCCCAUCCCUCAACUCCUUUCCUGAAGGACAGGUCCACUCCAGGCAGGAGGUUCAGUGGCCUUAACUUCUCUUUCCUGGUUUGCCCAUCUGCUCCUCCUCUUGGCUGGGACAGGUUCCCGACACCCCCAUGCUUGGCCCGGGGGAUGGGAUGGGGAGUGGGGAAACAGUGUGCCAGCCAGCCUUCACCAGUGCAGGCACACCUCCUUUCCUCUCAGUUCUGCUAAGAUAAGGUAAGAUUUUUUAAAGGAAACGUAUCAACCAAACAGAGGGAAGAAAAAAGGGGAAAGAAGGGGGAAAUGCAGAUGCUGGGAAACGGGUCCACAGAGCUGAGGUUCCUGACUCUAAAGGAACUUACGCCUGGCCACAAGCUCACUUGACCUUCUGAGGACUUAAUCUUCCACCACCACCACCUCUGUGGCUCCAGAUGCAGGAUGACCUUGGGACCGCACCCAGGUUGAAAGGUGCGGACUGGUCGCUGUGUUUGCUAUUCUGUUGUGGGAGAAGGGUCACUGGGCACAGGCCCAGGGCCCGACCGAGCCUCAAGGAGCCUGUCCUUCCUCUGCUUCCCAGGGGCUCCUGUUGGGACUUCCACACGCCUCAGCCUCAAACUGGUCUCCCCACCUCACCCUGCCCCCACCCCAGUCUAUUCUCCACACACAGAAACUGGAGUGAUUGUUUUAAAAAAUUAUAUGUGAAUCAGAUUAUAUCAUUUAUGGUUAAAAACUUCCACUGAAUAAACACUAUCAUAGGCUGAAAAAGAAAGGCCUAGAUACAUGGGAUGGACAGUAUGAACAGCCGCCCAGGCCCCUGUUCAGAGAAGGGCUCGUUGCCCCUGGUACUGGCUUGCUGUUGGGAAAUAGCCUCCAGCUCUAAGCCCCUCCGGGAUUGCAUCAACUGCAAAGAACUGCCUCAUCCAAGGUCAUGCCACUUGCGUGGGUCUCUACACCCAAGCACUGACUGAUGGGGGAGAUGAAGGAUGAGCCAUCAGCCCAACUCACGACAGCUCUAGAAGAGGCGUGUCCAGCACUGGAGUUCCUCAUCCAGCCGGCCAAGGCCACUGCCGGGCCUGUGCUCAUCUUCUCCCUCUGCCCAUUCCUGCCUCCUGCCCCUCUUCCAUGAGCAUUGGUCUCCAGGGAACUCCUACAUAAAAUCAUGCACACAAAAACAAAAGGGAAAAAUUCUGCUGGCCUCCCAUAGUGUUUUAGAUUUUUAAAAAUAUAAAGCUAUGUAUUUUUUACAAGGACCAGCAAUGCCUUACAUGACUUGAGCCUGGCCUGCCCUUCUCACCUCAUGUCACUGAGGCCUUCCUUGGCUACCUUGUCUAAAAUUUCAACUUCACAUAAUUCCUUUUUUAUCCUUCUUAGCACUUAUCACUAUCUAUCAUACUACAUAUAUAUAUUUAAACUUAUUUAUCUUGUUUAUUUUCUGUCUUCCCAUUAGAUCAUAAGCUCAAUGAGGGCAAGGGUUUUGUCUGUUUGGUUUCUCUUGUAACCCCACAGCUUAGCAUAGUGUCUGGCACAUAGUAGGUGCUCAAUAGUUGCUGAGUGAAUCAAUAAAUGAAUCUUCUACCUAUCACUAUCUCACACAGUACCUGGAAUAUAGAAGAAAUGAAAUAAAUAUUUGUAAAAAAAUAAAUAGCCAUGUCUGCAAGUUGGCCUCUAAGAUCCUUUUUCGCUCUGUGGGGCUCCUUUAGUUCCCUCCAGUUUCCCAAGUUCUUCCUGUUGACCCCUCCAGGGCUCUGGUGACAGAAUAGUACAAGUCUGUCCCUGCCACGUGUAAGCCAAGGAUCACAGACUCUCUGACCAUGGGCAGUGUCGUCAGUGGUUACAGUUUUAGAGACAAACUACCUGGGUUCAAAUCUCGGUUCUACCACAGAUGACCUUAACAUCUGUGAGCCUCUCAUCUGCAAAACAAGGAUGACAGUACCUACCUCAGGGCUUCUGCAAAGUAUUUAUUGAAUGCUUGUCUCCCUACUUGACCCUGAACUCUCAGAGGGCAGGAACCAAGUCUACAAGUUCACAUGACUCCUUGGCACUUAGUAGGUGCCUGAUGAACAUUAGAGAGUGUAUUUCCAUAUUUCCCAUUCUACUCAGCACCAAGUAUGGGCAUGAGCAAAACUGGCUGGAUGACACAGCAGAGGCAGAUCCCCACUGGCCAUGCUCUGAUGGUUUCUGCCCAUUCUCCUGGAUUGAAUUACCAGUUGAGAAUUACCACUGUUUUCUCAUUUGGUAGGUGGAGAUAGGAAAAGGAAGUCUGUGGUGGUGACCAUCAUUCAUCCUGUGCCCAGGGUUCUCUGCCUACCCCCAGAUCCCCAAGCUACCCCACGGCUUCUCUGCUUGUGAACCUCUGACCAAACCCCAACCUUUGCUCUGGUUCCCCCUCUGUCACUCCAGAAUCCAGCUGAGUACCCCCUCCCACCUCCACAUGGCCUCUGACAGCUUAGGUCACAUUGUUCUUUCCCCUUCCUGACCACCCACUGCAUAUAUCGACUAAAUCGUGCUUCCUGGCAUUUGCUUCCACCCAGGCUGGCAUUUGAUUAGAUUCUGCUGCAGGUUCUCAUUUUACCUCUCUGUCAGAUCUCCCCGAGUUGACUUUAAUAGUAAUAAUAGUAAUAAUUUUGCUUUACAUCUGGGAACCCACCGGGCACUCAUACAAAGGGAUCCCAUUUCUUUUACCUCUCUCUGUCUCUAUAACCAUCCCAGAAAGUAGGCAGGGCAGAGGUCAUCUUCUACAUUCCACAGAUAAGGCAACCAAGGCUCAGAGAUGCUCACAUCAAUAACUCCUCACCUCAGCCUGUUCCCCUUUCACCAUCUCAAUAAUUGGCACCACUGUCCACCAAGAUGUCUAAGCCAAAAACUUGGGCAUCUCUAUCAUUCUUCACCUCCUCCUUUCUUUUACAGCCCCUACCCUGCAGAUGAAACCGAAAUUUCUCUCCAGACCACUCACUCCUCUCCAGUUCUACCACCUUGGCCCAUAUGUGAUGACAUCAUCCCUGCUCUGGAAGAUUGCAAAGGUCUCCCUCCCAGCCUCUGCUAUUGCCCCACCCUACCCCAUUCAUUCUGUACAUUGCAUCACAGUGGUCUUUUUCUGAUGCAUACACAUUCAUUCACUGAACUAAUAGUUUUUGAGAGCCUAUUCUGUGCCAGGCACUGUUCAAGAUGCUGGGGGUACAGCAAUGAAUAAAACUAUUGCCCUCGUGGGGCUUAUAUUCCAGUGGGGAGGUGAGGGGUCAAUAAUAAGUAGUCAAGUAAAUGUAUAGUAUUAGACAGUGAUCAUUGCUAUGGAAAGAAAGAAAGCAGAGGAGGGAGUCAGGGAGUAUAUCCUGUGGCAGGAUAUAGGCUUGCUAUUAUAUAAGGUAGGGAGAAAAGCCCUCAUUGAGCAGACAUCUGAAAGAAGUGAGGGAGUGAGGCUUGCUGAUACCUGGAGUUAUUCCAGGCAGAUGGAACAGCAAGUGUAAAAUCCUGAGGUGGGAUGGCACUUGGCAAGUUCAUGUUUGAGAAAGUGCACAGAGACCAGUAAGGCUGGAGGAGUAUGAGAAGAGGGAGAGAUCUGGCAGAAGGCCACACCUUGCAGGGUCUAUAGGCCAUUAUAAAGACUUUGGCUUUGACCCUGAGUGAGAUGCUGCACCAGUGGAGGGGUUGAGCAGAGGCAUGACACAAUAAUUUUAAUUGGCUUACAUUUUAACAGGACCUCUCCACCCACUGUGUGAAGAACAAACAGUAAGGGCACAAGGGUAGAAGUGGGAAGACUAGUUAGGAAGCCAUUGCAGUAACACAGGGAAGAGAUGAUAAUAGCUCGGACCAGGGUAGAGUCUAUGGAAGUGGUAAGAAGUGGUUUGAUGCUGAAUGAGUUAUGAAGGUAGAGCUGACAAUGUUUUCUGAUGAACUGCAUGUGGGGUGUGAAAGAAAGGCGUCAGGAAGGAUGCCAGGGAUGACUGCAAAUAUGAUUUUGUCACUCCAUCAAUUCCCCAUUGUUCUUAGAUGAGGAAACUGAGGCUGUCUGAGGUUCAGCGAAUCCCCCAGGGUCACAAUGUGGUACUGGGAUGCUGAACAAAUAAUUGCUGAAUUGAACUGAUAGCACUGGCAUUACCCUGUGCCUGCUUUCUCCGUGUCCACCGAUCUCAGCACAAAGCCUGGCGCAGAGUGGGUGUGCACUCACCAAGCGAGCAAAACCCAGUCCAGCCUGCGGCGGGAAAAGAGGCCUCCUCGCUCCUCUCCCCGCUCCCCCAGAGCUCCCUCUCCCCAUUCAUCUCCCCUUCACACCCUUAAUAAAAGCCCUGAGAUUGACCGAU